RNAcentral lists this ribosomal RNA (167 nucleotides) under uncultured bacterium. RNAcentral describes it as "partial 16S ribosomal RNA". It matches the Rfam family "Bacterial small subunit ribosomal RNA", at positions 367 to 528 of the family's 1533-position model. The record is from RNAcentral.
CUCCUGGGCGCAGCCUGAUGCAGCCAUGCCGCGUGAGUGAUGAAGGCCUUCGGGUUGUAAAGCUCUUUUGUUGGGAAAGAAAAGCACCCGGUUAAUCCCCGAUUGUCAGGACAGUUCCCAAAGAAUAGCCCCGCGCUUACUUUAUGCCAGCAGCCGCGGUAAUGUCC